GCUGUGUUCAGGCCGGUCCACGCUGGGUGACCCAUGUGACCUGCUGCUUAGCAAUUCCUUGUCACCAUCUUCCCUUCUCAGCCUCUUUUUUCAUGCUAACAGGCAUAAAUGAAAUGAUGAUAAAAGUUUGAGCUCUUCUCGUGGAAUUCUUGUGAUACCGAUAUGUGCUACAUGUUCAUCAUCUCGUUGGUCUUCACCAUGAUAACUGUGGAGUAAGAAUUAUAAGCAGGUCACAGAUUAGGGACUUGAGAUUGACAGUUUGGCUUCCCUGUUCUGGGUGGCAAAGCCUGUGGAGUACUCACCUACCUGCUGCAUGAAGGCAGCAUGGAGGGACUGUAGCGGAUUAUCUACAAAGAUGGCCAAAAUUCUCUCAUCCCUGCAGGCACAUACAAGUCAGUAAAUUGCAGAUGUAAGAUUCAAAACCAGACUUCACAUCUACCGACUUCAGUGACCCUGAAAUUUGUUCACAGAGAGCAUUUAACAUAACUGUCUUCAUCAUCUCCUUCUCUACAUUAAAAAUUAUGGUUCGCAAAGACGUUAUUGGUGAUUCAAUCUUGAGUCAUGAAAAGUCAACCUGGAGCCACAAAAAGUCAACCUUGAGCCAAGCAGAGUGGAGAGUCAUACAUGCCAUUCCUGGGACCAUCAAAAAUGGCAGAGGUCACACAAAAGGCAAAACUUUUAAGAGGUGUUUCAAACGUCGUAUGGGCCAAAGAGAAGCUGGAUUUUCUAUUGGAGUCAGCUGUAACAUACGUGUGACGAAAUUGGCCUGUGAGGACAAGGCAGUGAGCAGAGAGGACAGCAGUCCUUAUGAGAACAAGCUCUAA
This 824-nucleotide long non-coding RNA is filed under the name Gorilla gorilla gorilla (western lowland gorilla). RNAcentral describes it as "lncRNA (ENSGGOG00000044405.1)". Lineage: Eukaryota; Metazoa; Chordata; Mammalia; Primates; Hominidae. The record is from RNAcentral.